This 362-nucleotide unclassified non-coding RNA is filed under the name Hevea brasiliensis (rubber tree). The record is from RNAcentral. Lineage: Eukaryota; Viridiplantae; Streptophyta; Magnoliopsida; Malpighiales; Euphorbiaceae.
GAAAUUAAUUCCAUAUAUUGUUCAGUGGUUUUAUGAUUGUAUGUUUCCACCUAAAUACUUGGUACUUAGCAAUGCUAGGUUAUAUUGAACUGGUAGGGUGAACACCACUUGUUAUAGUUAAUUGUAAAGAUAAUAUUAGCUUCCAUGUCCCAUCCCUGAGACUUCUCAGGGUGGUUUUUAGCUUCUACCAUUGUUUGUAAGUUGCUUUUGAUUAAUAAAGGGGCGUGCCUUACAAAUAAUAGGAUAAUGGACAAGCUGGAGGGCUCAAUAUGAUAUAAUUGUCACACCCAAACAUGUUUUUAGUACAACCAAUUGCGCACAGGGUAAUAGGAUAAUAAAAUCAGAAGAGAGAGCAAUGAAAA